CAGGGAGUCCAGAGAACGGAAACUCUUACCGAAAACCUUGACCGUGGUGAAGCUCCUCAAGAUUCUGCCAGGCCUGACUUCAACAUGGCAAGAGAACUUCCGGUCAUCAUCGUGGAUCUGGACUGGAGAGAGGCAACACCUCUUCUUGCUCAACCGUUCUGUACGUAGCACCAUGCCUAGCACGUGCUUGGCUCAGAAUACGUAUUUGCUGAGUGAAUGAGAACUGAAUGAACUCAUGGCUUCUUUCCCCCACCAGGGAAACCCACAUUCCCUGGAGGCGGAGAAGUGACAGCUCCUUUUCCACCCCUUGUCUGGGACAGGCUGGACCAGGUGGGGAAGCCUCCCACACUGCUGGCUGGAGAUCUGUUUUGCUGAUGACAGAAAAGCUUGUCUGUGCUUCAGCAAAAAACAUACAGAACAAGACAGAAGCAAUCAGAAUCCAAAGGCAGAGAAUCUCCCACCUUGGCUGGCUACCAGGCCUGUUCCCUCCACCCAGUGACUUCCAUUUACAGAGGACUGAGACUGGAUUUCAGGGAAGUGACUCCUUGGUAAAAACUGUCUGGUUAGUUACAGAAGGACAUGAGGACUGUUCCCUGCCAGAUGCAACUGUACUGGUUGGCUAUCUUGGGAUAAAGCAGGCUGUCCUUACCUUCCAACGCUGAGAAAACAGACGUUAGGCUGGAACUACA
Molecule: non-coding RNA, 689 nt
Organism: Vicugna pacos (alpaca)
Lineage: Eukaryota; Metazoa; Chordata; Mammalia; Artiodactyla; Camelidae
Source: RefSeq, a predicted model, not a curated record